UACGUAGGGUGCAAGCGUUGUCCGGAAUUAUUGGGCGUAAAGAGCUCGUAGGCGGUCUGUCGCGUCUGCUGUGAAAACCUAGGGCUUAACUCUGGGCGUGCAGUGGGUACGGGCAGGCUAGAGUGCGGUAGGGGAGACUGGAAUUCCUGGUGUAGCGGUGAAAUGCGCAGAUAUCAGGGAGGAACACCGGGUGGCGAAGGCGGGUCUCUGGGC
This 213-nucleotide ribosomal RNA is filed under the name uncultured bacterium. RNAcentral describes it as "partial 16S ribosomal RNA". It matches the Rfam family "Bacterial small subunit ribosomal RNA", at positions 524 to 734 of the family's 1533-position model. The record is from RNAcentral.